RNAcentral lists this transfer RNA (69 nucleotides) under Scorpaenopsis ramaraoi. RNAcentral describes it as "tRNA-His". It matches the Rfam family "tRNA". From Rfam's summary of the family: Transfer RNA (tRNA) molecules are approximately 80 nucleotides in length. Their secondary structure includes four short double-helical elements and three loops (D, anti-codon, and T loops). Further hydrogen bonds mediate the characteristic L-shaped molecular structure. tRNAs have two regions of fundamental functional importance: the anti-codon, which is responsible for specific mRNA codon recognition, and the 3' end, to which the tRNAs corresponding amino acid is attached (by aminoacyl-tRNA synthetases). tRNAs cope with the degeneracy of the genetic code in two manners: having more than one tRNA (with a specific anti-codon) for a particular amino acid; and 'wobble' base-pairing, i.e. permitting non-standard base-pairing at the 3rd anti-codon position. Lineage: Eukaryota; Metazoa; Chordata; Actinopteri; Perciformes; Scorpaenidae. The record is from RNAcentral.
GUAGACAUAGUUUAACCAAAAUAUCAGAUUGUGAUUCUGAAGAUAGGGGAUAGAAACCCCUUGUCCACC